GUGUUGUAUGAAAGGAGAGAAGGUUAGCACUCCCCUUGACAAGGAUGGAAGAGGCUUUGGCCUGCGACACGAAGAGAGGAGAAAAGUCUUGAGGGAGAAGCCAUGAUCUCGCUGUAAUAG
This is a small nuclear RNA of Suncus etruscus (white-toothed pygmy shrew), 120 nucleotides long. NCBI's taxonomy places the organism in Eukaryota, Metazoa, Chordata, Mammalia, Eulipotyphla, Soricidae. The record is from RefSeq and is a predicted model, not a curated record.